AUGGCUUCAACCAUGCUCUCCUUGGCAUCUUCCCUAUCAUUCCAUGACACUCACAAGGGGAAGAUCAAGCUUGGUAUUCGUUCUCUGUUGUUUUCUUGGCUGUAGUCAGCUGGUCGGGUUUCUAUGGUUGCUGCUGUCAAGACUUCUCGAUUCGACGGUGUAACCAUGGCCCCACCUGAUCCUAUUCUUGGAGUUUCUGAAGCAUUCAAAGCUAGCACCAAUCUGAUGAAGCUCAACCUUGGAGUUGGGGCAUACCGCACCGAAGAACUCCAGCCAUAUGUCCUUAAUGUUGUCAAGAAGGCAGAGAAUCUUAUGCUUGAAAGGGGGGAAAACAAAGAGUACCUCCCUAUUGAAGGUUUGGCAGCAUUUAACAAAGCAACUGCAGAGUUAUUAUUUGGAGCAGACAACCCAGUAAUAAAGGAGCAAAAGGUCGCAACUGUUCAAGGUCUAUCAGGGACUGGUUCUCUUCGUCUUGCUGCGGCUUUUAUUGAACGAUAUUUUCCUGGGGCCAAAGCUCUAAUAUCAUCUCCGACCUGGGGUAAUCACAAGAAUAUUUUUAAUGAUGCUGGAGUUCCGUGGUCUGAGUACCGAUAUUAUGAUCCAAAAACAGUUGGUUUGGACUUUGAGGGGAUGAUAGCAGACAUAAAGGCAGCACCUGAAGGAUCUUUUAUAUUGCUUCACGGGUGUGCUCACAACCCUACUGGCAUAGAUCCCACUCCUGAACAGUGGGAAAAAAUUGCUGAUGUCAUUCAAGAAAAAAACCAUAUUCCCUUUUUUGAUGUUGCAUACCAGGGGUUUGCUAGUGGAAGCUUGGAUGCUGAUGCUGCAUCUGUCAGAUUGUUUGUCGCGCGUGGUAUGGAGCUCCUGGUUGCUCAGUCAUACAGUAAAAACCUUGGUCUCUAUGCUGAAAGAAUUGGAGCAAUUAAUGUUGUCUUAACCUCAUCUGAUACAGCAGCAAGGGUAAAGAGCCAGCUGAAGAGGCUUGCUCGACCUAUGUACUCAAAUCCUCCUAUUCAUGGGGCUAAGAUUGUGGCCAAUAUUGUCGGGGAUCCUACACUUUUUGGUGAGUGGAAAGCAGAGAUGGAAAUGAUGGCUGGAAGAAUAAAGAAUGUGAGACAGAAACUAUACGAUAGCCUGUGCGCAAAAGAUAAGAGUGGAAAGGAUUGGUCAUUCAUACUUAAGCAGAUUGGCAUGUUUUCAUUCACAGGCUUGAACACUACUCAGACCGAGAAUAUGACGAAGAAGUGGCAUGUAUUCAUGACGAAGGAUGGAAGAAUAUCCCUGGCUGGAUUGAAUUUGGCGAAAUGUGAAUACCUUUCAGAUGCCAUCAUCGAUUCAUACCACAAUGUUAGUUGAAGUACACUGGCUAGCUGGCACACAAGUUUGAAGCAGACGCUUAGGAAUUUUUGGCCCCUUAAAUUGAAACAGUUACUAUUAAACUUUGUUGCGAUCUUACGUGUUUGUAAGAUCUUACAUGUUUGUAGAGAGGCAACUCCCGAGACACAGCGUGUAAUAAUAAUGUUCUCAUGGGAUUCAUACGGUGCAGGAUAAUCAAACAUAACAAUUUCUGUAAUAAAACAACAUAUUUGUGCACAAGUUUCAGUUUGUUUAUAUACUUUUAAUAGACAAGCUAUGGUACUGGGA
Molecule: RNA transcript, 1644 nt
Organism: Fragaria vesca subsp. vesca
Lineage: Eukaryota; Viridiplantae; Streptophyta; Magnoliopsida; Rosales; Rosaceae
Gene name: aspartate aminotransferase, chloroplastic-like
Exons: 11
Source: RefSeq, a predicted model, not a curated record